CUAGAAAACCAGCUCCAUUUCUUGCACAAACCAGAGAAGCUCGAAGGCACAGAAAUUAUGUGUUGGGUUUUAGGAAAUGAAAACAAACACAGGGAAAGAACAAAGAAUUGAGAUCCUUUUCAGGAGUAAUUUUGGUUGGGUGAAACGGAUUAGACUUGGACAGAAGAACAGAUAAAAAGAAAACAAUGCGAACGAUGGGGAGAGAAUUUGUUUGGUUGCGAUUUCGUUUCUUCGGAAGAAUAAAUCUGACAAAGUAAGCUUCAUCAAAUCAAAAGGCGAAUGGCACUGCGAUGGGGUUUCAACUUUCAACAAAAUUUCUCAUUCUUCGGUUGCUAUUGCUGUUGAUCUACGAAUCAGUGGGGAAAGCACUUGAAAUGAAGAUGGGGAAAGCGUCCAAAUGGACACAAAACCCCAGAAAAUGCAGAUGGGGGCAUAAAGUCAAGGCUGUAGGUGUUGGGUGUUGGCACACAUAUAUGCCUUGGUGGUUGCUGCUUAUCACAUGCCUCCCAAGAACCUCUCUCCACAAUUCUUGCUGCUUUGCUUGAUCCACAACUCUACCACAUUAUUGCAUUCAAUUGAGUCCUCUACUACAAACCCAUCUCAUUUUUGCACAUUCUU
Cucurbita maxima (winter squash) is the source of this 618-nucleotide long non-coding RNA. RefSeq lists it as uncharacterized. The record is from RefSeq and is a predicted model, not a curated record. The transcript is spliced from 3 exons. Lineage: Eukaryota; Viridiplantae; Streptophyta; Magnoliopsida; Cucurbitales; Cucurbitaceae.